GAUUAGCCAUGCUAGUCGCACGAGCUUAGACUCGUGGCAUAUAGCUCAGUAACACGUGGCCAAACUACCCUACAGACCGCAAUAACCUCGGGAAACUGAGGCCAAUAGCGGAUAUAACUCUCAGGCUGGAGUGCCGAGAGUUAGAAACGUUCCGGCGCUGUAGGAUGUGGCUGCGGCCGAUUAGGUAGAUGGUGGGGUAACGGCCCACCAUGCCGAUAAUCGGUACAGGUUGUGAGAGCAAGAGCCUGGAGACGGUAUCUGAGACAAGAUACCGGGCCCUACGGGGCGCAGCAGGCGCGAAACCUUUACACUGCACGACAGUGCGAUAGGGGGACUCCGAGUGUGAGGGCAUAUAGCCCUCGCUUUUCUGUACCGUAAGGUGGUACAAGAACAAGGACUGGGCAAGACCGGUGCCAGCCGCCGCGGUAAUACCGGCAGUCCAAGUGAUGGCCGAUAUUAUUGGGCCUAAAGCGUCCGUAGCUUGCUGUGUAAGUCCAUUGGGAAAUCGACCAGCUCAACUGGUCGACGUCCGGUGGAAACUACACAGCUUGGGGCCGAGAGACUCAACGGGUACGUCUGGGGUAGGAGUGAAAUCCUAUAAUCCUGGACGGACCACC
This 617-nucleotide ribosomal RNA is filed under the name Haloarcula sp. I.C3. RNAcentral's name for it is "bacterial SSU rRNA". It matches the Rfam family "Archaeal small subunit ribosomal RNA", at positions 43 to 661 of the family's 1478-position model. The record is from RNAcentral. Lineage: Archaea; Methanobacteriati; Methanobacteriota; Halobacteria; Halobacteriales; Haloarculaceae. RNAcentral also lists the same sequence under 1 other name.